Long non-coding RNA from Humulus lupulus (European hop), 561 nucleotides. RefSeq lists it as uncharacterized. The transcript has 2 exons. NCBI's taxonomy places the organism in Eukaryota, Viridiplantae, Streptophyta, Magnoliopsida, Rosales, Cannabaceae. The record is from RefSeq and is a predicted model, not a curated record.
UCUCACCUAAUUGUAUAUAUAUAUAUUUUUCUCCACUUCCUUAAAGACAAAAUACAGUCACGUGGUUACUAAAUACACCCAUUACAUACAUUCAACUUUUCCUCAAUUGCUUGCCCAUUUUGCGGUUUUGUGGUCACAACUCACAAAGAUGGAGCCUCCACCAGCACAAGCCAUAGACACUUCCACCAAGACUUUUCAGCCUGGAGAAGCUGAACAAGACAGAGCUGUUAAUGAAUGUUGUUCUUGUUUUUAUGACAUCACAGAGACCUGCUUUAAUUACUUAUGCUGCUACAACUUCUGUUGAGAGACUAGUUGGGUCCUAUUUAUGUAUUAAGAAUAUUAGUAUUAUUAUUGUUACUACUUAUUGCUAUGACAGGAAAAAAAAGAGAGAGAGUUUAUAAAAGAAAAUAAUAUACUUGUUAACUAGUAGUUUUUCUUUAGUGGUUUACAGUAAUACCCAGAAUCUCAUGCUUAACCUUAACAGGUAUUUUGUGUUUGUCAUUUGACUAACUUUGAUGAUCUCGAGUACUUAUUAUAUAGAUAUUUAUUUUCUUUUUACAA